RNAcentral lists this long non-coding RNA (226 nucleotides) under Elaeis guineensis (African oil palm). RNAcentral's name for it is "long non-coding RNA (EGUI_LNC079027)". The record is from RNAcentral. Lineage: Eukaryota; Viridiplantae; Streptophyta; Magnoliopsida; Arecales; Arecaceae.
CUAGCACUGUCAGCCUUAUGUCGUGCAAAGUCAAGAAAAUCUCGAACUCCUUUUUGAUGUUCAGGCAAAAAAAUACCUCUAGCAUUCAUCCAACUUUUGUUGAUAUUCAUCUAACAACAAACAUAAAAUUAUUAACAACCAAAAUAAAGUUUAGUGGUAUUCUGGAUCUCAAUUUGAAUUUCAGACUGAACGCGUUCUGAAUUCCAGCUAAAAUUUCGAUCCGGAU